UGCAUCGGCCGGGAAUCGAACCCGGGGCCACCGGAGUGGCAGGCGAGCAUUUUACCACUGAACCACGGAUGA
RNAcentral lists this transfer RNA (72 nucleotides) under Cordylochernes scorpioides. Its description in RNAcentral is "tRNA-Gly". The record is from RNAcentral. Lineage: Eukaryota; Metazoa; Arthropoda; Arachnida; Pseudoscorpiones; Chernetidae.